UUAAGCAGGUUGGGAAGUCUCCAAGACUCUCUCCAGGGCUCCUGAGCAUCCAGUGUUUGAAGACCCAGCGAGCAGCUGUUUCAAAGCCGAGAAAAGCGCUAAGAGCAGUGACGUCAUUGGCAAAGGCCACCCAGUCGGUCACGGAGCUGGAUUCGGGCUCUGGGAACACACGUGAGCCCCACUUUCUUUAACCGCUGUCUUCUGGAAACAAAGUUUUGUUGGAUUCCCUAGGACUAUAUGUAAAUGUAAAACCAGCGGUUUGUCAUAAGAAAUCACAUAUUUUUAUUGACAGCUGCCAGUAAAACUCAGAUAACCCUCAAAGCAUAAAAAUGCCAAGACUGGCCCUCCAAAAACACCAGGAAAGCUAGCUUCGGGUCCUCAAACGUCACGGAACGAAGGCUUAGUGGAACGAUGGCUUGGUGGCCAGCAGGUGGCGGUAAGGCUUCACCGUUGUCUUGGUGAUGCGCGCGGAGUUGCUGGUUCCUUCGAUCUGAACAACUCAGGCAAAAAGGAGACAGUCUGCUUCCCUCCUCCCUCCCACUCCAGCCUUCUUGUCCUGUGAUCUCCAGCCCCUGCAGGCUUUAAGGAAGGGAUACUUCUCUUCCAUAACACUGUGUGGUACGAAGGUUCCCAGGGGUGCUGGCGAUGGAACUCAAGGUCUCAUGCAUGCUGACAAGGUCUCAUGACUGCACCCACAGCCCUGCCGGGAUGCUUUAAGUGCCCUGAUCUCUCGUGAGGACCACUCGUGGAGAAGACUGAUUCUGCCUCUCUCAGCAGCCAUUAGCAGCCGCAGCUCCUCAGCUAGGGGAAGUGUUGUGAGACUUCCCGCAUCCACGAUAUAUGUGAGCUGGUUGCUCACUAUGCAGGUGUUAUUUAGGUGACCAUAUUGUUGAGAUUUCUCAGGUGUGGCUUUCUUGUCACACAGAGAAGACAGCCUCGCAGCCGACUUCCUGGUCUGCUGGCUCUUACAAUCUUCCUGCCCCCUCUUCCAUGAUGCUGCCUGAACCUUAGAAGUAGGGGCUUUGCUGGAGAGGUGGCCAUUGAUGACAGGCCAGAAGAGGACACCAGAUCUCAUUAUAGAUGGUUGUUCAGAUGGCGGGUCCUGAGGCUGGCUGGUGCAGAGCAGAGGAGCGAGCCUCUUGGAAGUGGAAAGCUGGCCUCCCGCGCAUGCCUAUUGCCCUGCCUGCCUGCGGUGAUGGAGGCCAUCCCAGGACAGACAGCUGCAAUGGCCUCUUCCUGCAGUUCUUGUCAGGCAUUUUGUCACACAACAUAAUGAAUACACUUGGACCUCCUAGUACUGGCAACAAGGACUGGCAUGGAAGCCGUGGAGAGCCAAGCCACCAAGAGUCUUCAGGCUGUGACUCGGUCAGCAGAGGUGAGCGUAUGAGAAGCUCAGAGGUUCGCGUGGACCCCUUCAGGUGUGGCUCCUUCACUGAAGCAGCAGUCUCGUGAGGUCCCUUCUUCUGAAGGAGGAAGUCAGCUUUGGCACUUCCCUGGGGUGUCCCGAGGUCUUCGUUCACAUGGGGGGGGGGUGGCCCACCCGUGCCUCCCUUGCCCGUUUUCCUUCCUGUUAGCUUGAAUGGAUCUUGUGUUCCUCGAGGUUCAGGUGCGAGAAGUCUGGUCCCCAGUGUGUCAAUACUGAGAGCUGGAGGAAGGCUGAGGAGUGGGGUGCGGUAGAGGGUGGAAGCUCAUUGGAGGUAUUGCCCUCCCAGGGACAGCAAAGCCAUCCAUGAGCUCGGUCUCUUCUGCAUGUAGCCGUUCUUUCCUGUCUCUCUGAUGUGAUGGCCAGGGUGCUGUCCAGAAACUGGACGGAUGAAGCCACUCCCUUGGAAUUUUGGCCUCAAAACUGUACGCCAAGCAACCUUUAUUCAGUACUCAUACUUGAAUGUGUUUGUAGCACAAUUUCUAAUUGGUCUUAAUAAUAAGAACCCAGAGUCAGAUAUUAGGGGUUGAAAGCUGAAAGAUCAGAGAAGCAGAGCAGUCAGCCACUAGGUCUUACGAAAUCCUCAGACUGAAUGCUGUCUCUACAAAAUCUCAGACUGCAGUCUGAGCUCCUGUCUCCUCCCGCCUUAUAUUCCUCUCCUGGCCCAGCCAUAUCACUCCUGUCUCCACCUCCCUAGUAAGGGGAUAAAAGGUGUCAGCUACUACCCUUGGCUCUGUUUCUCUUUGAGAGUGAUUUAAUCUGGAGUAGCCCAGGGUGUCCUUGAACUCACAGAGAUCCUCCUGCCUCUGCGCUGGGAUUGAAGGUGUGUGCCACCACUGCCUGGCCUCUGUGGCUAACUAGUAUGCCUAGUUCCACACUCUGACCUUUAGGCAAGCUUUAUUUGUUAAAGUACAAACAAAAUAUCCACCACCAUGAGUUAUUACACAAACAGCAAAAGGAAUGACUUACCUCUUCUUGCCUCCCUUGCAAACUGAUCCCCACCUGCUCUUCUGGCUCCUUAGCUUGCUGUCUGGCUCUUCUCUAGGUCUCCUUCCUGUACACCAGUGGGCGGGGCCAGUGUACCAGCAUUAUUGGAUGGACUUUCACCCCUUGUCACUCAGAGAAGACUCUGGGAGAGGUUGAGCAUGUGGCUUAGUUGACAGAGUGCUCACUUAGCAUGCAUGGUGGGUUUCAUCCCUUGCGCGUCUCAAAAGUGGGAUGGUGAACGUUAUGGUUUUCUGUCUCUUUAAGAGACAAGCCACGCCCACUCCCACUCCGCUCCCUCCCCCAUCCGCUGAGGCAGGCUGAUCUCCAGCUUCCAGCCUAAGCUCACUCUCUCCUUUUCCAUCUUCCUCUCGGAGAGUCAGCUUUUUCUCCGCACUUCUCUGCUUCCCCCUUCUCUUUCUCUUCUCUCUCUCUCUCUCUCUCUCUCUCUCUCUCUCUCUCUCUCUCUCU
Alexandromys fortis (reed vole) is the source of this 2878-nucleotide long non-coding RNA. RefSeq lists it as uncharacterized. Lineage: Eukaryota; Metazoa; Chordata; Mammalia; Rodentia; Cricetidae. The transcript has 5 exons. The record is from RefSeq and is a predicted model, not a curated record.